RNAcentral lists this non-coding RNA (520 nucleotides) under Pan troglodytes (chimpanzee). The record is from RNAcentral. Lineage: Eukaryota; Metazoa; Chordata; Mammalia; Primates; Hominidae.
ACCCUUUUCUGGGAAAGUGAGUAUCAACCAAGAAUGAAUCUCGCUGUGUUGUCCAGGCUGGAGUGCAGUGGCACCAUCUCGGCUCACUGCAACCUCUAGCUCCCAGGUUCAAGCGAUUCUCCUGACUCAGCCCCCUGAGUAGCUGGGAUUACAGGCACGCGCCACCACUCCCAGAUGGAGUUUUGCUCUUGUUGCCCAGGCUGGAGUGCAAUGGCAAGAUCUCGGCUCACCACAACCUCUGCCUUCUUUUUUCUUCUGUUUUUAAAACUUGUGGUAAAAUCUAGAUAACAAAAAGUUUGCCAUUUUAACCAUUUUUAAGUGGACAGUUCAGUGGCAUUAGUUACAUUCCCAAUGUUGUGUAACCACCACUACUAUCCAUUUCCAGAAGGUUUUCAUCACCCGAAACAGAAACUCUGUACCCAUUAAAUAGUAACUCCCCAUUCUACCCUUCUCUCCCUCCAUAACCUCUGUUUUACCUUCUGCAUCCAUCAAGUUGCCUGUUAUAGAUAAUUCACAUAGA